CUACGGGGGGCUGCAGUGGGGAAUAUUGGACAAUGGGGGAAACCCUGAUCCAGCAAUGCCGCGUGUGUGAAGAAGGCCUGCGGGUUGUAAAGCACUUUCGGUUGGGAGGACUGCUUCUAGCACUAAUAUUGUUGGAAGUUGACGUUACCUUCAGAAGAAGCACCGGCUAACUCCGUGCCAGCAGCCGCGGUAAUACGGAGGGUACAAGCGUUAAUCGGAAUUACUGGGCGUAAAGCGCGCGUAGGCGGCUAGAUCAGUCGGGUGUGAAAGCCCGGGCUUAACCUGGGAACUGCAUCCGAUACUGUCUAGCUUGAGUACAGGAGAGGAGAGUGGAAUUCCACAUGUAGCGGUGAAAUGCGUAGAUAUGUGGAGGAACACCAAUGGCGAAGGCAGCUCUCUGGCCUGAUACUGACGCUGAGGUGCGAAAGCGUGGGGAGCAAACAGGAUUAGAUACCCGUGUAGUC
Molecule: ribosomal RNA, 464 nt
Filed under: uncultured bacterium
Lineage: Bacteria
Description: partial 16S ribosomal RNA
Rfam family: Bacterial small subunit ribosomal RNA
Source: RNAcentral